AUGUAAGAAUGACAGUUGAACAGUGAGAGAUAAAGGCCAGCAGUAUUAGAAGGAGUCAUUCACUCUAAGGUUUCCUGAGAGCAGGGUACUACUGGUUGUUGUUGGUGACAACUGGCUGCUGUAAAAUCUGAUCGAAGGAGAGUGUGCGGUGACAGAACACCAUGGGAUACCUAAGUAUGGAGCUCUGGAUACCAAAGAAUAAAUGCAAUGUUUUCAGUCAAAGGUAUACACUGAUGAAUUACAGGAACUUGAAUUGCUUUAUUUUCUUGAGAGUGGCAUCAUGAACUGACCUCGCUUCCAGGAGGAAAAGCCAAUAUGAUAUAAAGUACAUAACCAAAAUAACCUAGUUUUUCAUGUUUAUUUUCUGCUUUGAAAUCACUCAGGACAUAAAUACAGGUACCAUACAAUAUUUUCAAUGAAAUGGAAAUGAUAAUUAUUGAUUUACAGUCUCUCCAAUUAAAUUGGAGAACUAUAGUUUUUAGGUGAUCAUAAAAUGGUGUGAAUAUAGUACAUGGAUUGAAUGCAGGUGCAUUUACUGCCAAGGUUAAAGUAUAAACUUCAGGUAGCUCCUUUGCUGAAUUUUGUCAAAUAUUUGUGAACUCUAUAACUUCUGAGAGAGUAAAAUGGAAAGAGAUUUAAUUAGAGUGUGCUGGGAAUGUAAAGUAAUAUAUUAACUUUUUAUGAAGAAAAUUCUUCUUGAGCCACCAUGUUAUAGGUUGUGAAAUUAUCAUUAUAGA
Molecule: long non-coding RNA, 737 nt
Filed under: Monodelphis domestica (gray short-tailed opossum)
Lineage: Eukaryota; Metazoa; Chordata; Mammalia; Didelphimorphia; Didelphidae
Description: lncRNA (ENSMODG00000040205.1)
Source: RNAcentral